RNAcentral lists this ribosomal RNA (489 nucleotides) under Cicer arietinum (chickpea). RNAcentral's name for it is "eukaryotic LSU rRNA". The stretch from base 325 to 489 matches the Rfam family "Eukaryotic large subunit ribosomal RNA", at positions 1 to 167 of the family's 3401-position model. The record is from RNAcentral. Lineage: Eukaryota; Viridiplantae; Streptophyta; Magnoliopsida; Fabales; Fabaceae.
UUAUGCGAUAACUGGUGUGAAUUGCAGAAUCCCGUGAACCAUCGAGUCUUUGAACGCAAGUUGCGCCCGAUGCCAUUAGGUUGAGGGCACGUCUGCCUGGGUGUCACAUAUCGAAGCCCAUUGCCGAUUUCCUACUCGUAGGUGUUGUGCUGGGUGAAUGAUGGCUUCCCGUGAGCUUCUUUGUCUCAUGGUUGGUUGAAAAUUGAGACCAUGGUAGGGUGUGCCAUGAUAGAUGGUGGUUGUGUGUCGCACGAGACCAAUCAUGCGCUGCCCUAUUGAAUUUUGGCCUCUUGUACCCAUUUGCGCUUCCAAACGCUCGUGAUGAGACCUCAGGUCAGGCGGGGCUACCCGCUGAAUUUAAGCAUAUCAAUAAGCGGAGGAAAAGAAACUAACAAGGAUUCCCUUAGUAACGGCGAGCGAACCGGGAUAAGCCCACCAUGAGAAUCGGUCGCCUUCGGCGUUCGAAUUGUAGCUGGGAAAAAGCGUCAA